ACGCCACUCCCCGGAGACGCCGAACCGGCCGGCGGGGGCGCCCUCGGGGCCCGCCCCGCGCAUGGUGAGUUGUCGGCGCGCCUCGCCCGGCGCCCCCGCCGGUCCUGCCGGAAGAUGGUCAACGACCGGUGGAAGACCAUGGGCGGCGCUGCCCAACUUGAGGACCGGCCGCGCGACAAGCCGCAGACAAAUCAGCCCCCUUGCUGAGUCUCCGUUUCCUCACCUCUACAAUGGGCGUCUUAACUACCCACAAAAUCUCCACUCUGGGCGCUACCCUGUGCCAGGCACCUGGUCCUGAACCUGACCGCCUGAAUCUCCUCUGCAUCCUUCCCUUUAGCCAGGGCCCUGCAUACAGUAGGGGAUCAAUAAAGAUUCAUCUCCUGCA
Molecule: small RNA, 385 nt
Filed under: Pongo abelii (Sumatran orangutan)
Lineage: Eukaryota; Metazoa; Chordata; Mammalia; Primates; Hominidae
Description: processed transcript
Source: RNAcentral